This 1138-nucleotide long non-coding RNA is filed under the name Coturnix japonica (Japanese quail). Its description in RNAcentral is "lncRNA (ENSCJPG00005006866.1)". Lineage: Eukaryota; Metazoa; Chordata; Aves; Galliformes; Phasianidae. The record is from RNAcentral.
CCCCUGCACCAACUGUGGGAACAUCUCCAUCCACAUCCAGGGGACUUCCUAAGUUCUCUUUGCAGGGGACAGCAAACACCACAUUCUGCAGACUGGUGGGGUUAAUGGAGACACAGUGUGAGACAGAUCCCAUAUCAAGAUCUCUCAGAUCAAAGCAGGGCUCAGACACUCCACGGAGACACAACCAGGAAGAAACUAUUCACUAAUCUCUUUGGGACUUCACUACAUUACAGUCUACAUUUCCUCUGCACAGAUAAGCUCUUUCCCAAACACACCUGCUGAGGAAGAUAGAGGCUGUUGAUCCUAUUUUGUGGGGUUUUCUUUGGAACCAGUGUGCAGUACAUUGCACAACCAGCCCAUUUCAGCCAUCUGAUACAAUACUGUUGUGGGUACCUGAGAAAAUAGCCACAUCCCUUAGGGAAAAAGGGACAAGGCUGGACAGGGCUUUGAGCACCUGAUGGGAGCUGUGGGUGUCCCUGUUCAUUGCAGUUAGAAAUGAGCUCUAAAGACCAAAUGGCCUUUAAAGGUCAUUUCCAACUUAAACUGUUCUAUGACUAUAUAUAUUUCAAUAGGAAAAAAUAGGAGGCAUAGAACAUGCACAGAGGAGAGAUGAUUCCCAAGGGUUGGCACAAUCCAGAGACUGGGCUCUGACCUUAACAUAGGACUGCAGUUUGAAAUACGUUGCCGUGCCCAUGGUUUCUAAUCUUCUUAUACAGAGCAUCAGGCUUCUGAAAGCUCAGGGUCUGUUAAAGUUAGGUUAUUUGAGGACCUUCUUCCUCAUUACAAGUACCUAUCCCAUUUCUUCAGUGCUUGAGAGGAAUAAGUCUUUCUUCUGCCUUUGAUCCCUGAUUCAGGGCAUAUAGAGCAGAUCCAGACCCAUCACUCAGUGCCAACACCUAAUGUGGUCUUUAUGAUGCUUUCAGAGCUCCUCUCUAUCAUGGAUGAGAAGAAACACAAAGGUCACUGUGGAUGUAUGGACGGUGCUCCUCCAUGGAGAAGGUGUGUGAGAAGCAGGUCUAAGGGGAUGACAUCCUUUGAAACUCAGUCUCUGAACAGACAUUGAGGAACAGCAAGGGGACAUCUAGAGAAUCUUCUAAUCUCCAUAAAUCCAUAAAUAAAUUCUAUUGCUGGCGAGCCA